RNAcentral lists this long non-coding RNA (1179 nucleotides) under Monodelphis domestica (gray short-tailed opossum). RNAcentral describes it as "lncRNA (ENSMODG00000045909.1)". The record is from RNAcentral. Lineage: Eukaryota; Metazoa; Chordata; Mammalia; Didelphimorphia; Didelphidae.
ACAUUCUUUAAUCUGACCCAGAUGUAGAAGGAGUAGACAAGUCUCUAGAAUGUGACUUUCUAAAGCAAUGUAUUUUCUAGAACAUAAAUUCCUUGAGAGCAGGAACUGUUUAAUUUUUGUCUUUCUGACCUUGAAGCCUAACACAGUGUAACUGCUUAAUAAAUGAUUUCUGAUUUUAAUUGAUUUGGAUAUGUGACAUCGGACAGGAUCAAUAUUUUACAAGUAAACCUAUUAUCUACAAAAGGUGUUCCAUAAGAAUUGUAUUUGUUAUUUGUUCAGAGCAGUUCCAUGGGCACUACAAAAGCAUUACCAAGAAUGUUUUCCUUAUUUGAGGAUUUUAAAUCCUCUCAAGUGGAUUACCAGUUCUAAAUUAUCUCAUCUGAAUUAUUUUAAUUUAUUAUUAUUAAAUUAUUUUCAUCUGAAAAGGAGUUGGAAUAGGAAUGAUCCAUCCUUUUAUCUUUAGGAUCAAUCUCAGUCUGGGUGACUUCACUCUACCUAUUGACUACUGGAUCUGUGACGUUCAGGAUCAGUGGUUUCUAGACAGUAUUCCUGAAAGAACCAACUCAUGAUGGAAUUUGAACUAUUUCUCCCUUGAGGUUGCUUAGAGGAAACUCUUUCCUCUGAAAAGAAAUCUGUUGAGAAUGAUUGCUCUCACACUGUUUGCAAAUCGAAACUGUGAAAGGUAAAGAAGGAUGUUGAAAGGAUUAUGCUGGAAGCAGAUAUGCAUCUUUGGUUCAUUCUGGAUGUAUUAGUCUUUUCCUGGGUAAGUAUCUGCCCUGCAGGACUAAAGUGGGGAAGGUGGGAGGACAAGAGUACAGAAAAUACUUCUUCCUUACUUCUCUGACCCUUGAUGCUGUCCACUGGUAGAUGUUCAACAGGCAAUCCAUCACUAAGCUUUUCUCUAUAUUGAACUGGCAAGGCUGGUAGAUUCCAUUUUUGAAGGGCCACCAUGGGUAUAAACAAUAUUCAGCUAGCCAGUGAGUUAGGAGCUAAACUUUCCAUUUUAUCUGUGAAUCUCCUUCACACUUUGUAAAAGAAUUCUAGGGUUUAGACUGUACUUUGUUAACAUAUUAUCAUUGAACUGGAGGAAUUCCAUAGGAACUAGAAUGACCUCCAGGAAUUGAUGCAGAAUGAGAGGAACAAAACCAGGAGAACAUUGUAUACACAGAGACUGAAACA